ACUCCUACGGGAGGCAGCAGUGAGGAAUAUUGGUCAAUGGAGGGAACUCUGAACCAGCCAUCCCGCGUGUAGGAAGACGGCCUUAUGGGUUGUAAACUACUUUUAUACAGGAAGAAACGUACCCUCGUGAGGGUGCCUGACGGUACUGUAGGAAUAAGCACCGGCUAACUCCGUGCCAGCAGCCGCGGUAAUACGGAGGGUGCGAGCGUUAAUCGGAAUUACUGGGCGUAAAGCGCAUGCAGGUGGUUUGUUAAGUCAGAUGUGAAAGCCCGGGGCUCAACCUCGGAAUAGCAUUUGAAACUGGCAGACUAGAGUACUGUAGAGGGGGUGAGAAAUUCCAGGUGUAGCGGUGAAAUGCGUAGAGAUCUGAAGGAAUACCAGUGGCGAAGGCGGCCCCCGGACAAAGACUACGCUCNGAUGCGAAAGCGUGGGGAGCAAACAGGNUUAGAUACCCUGGUAGGCU
Molecule: ribosomal RNA, 463 nt
Filed under: uncultured bacterium
Lineage: Bacteria
Description: bacterial SSU rRNA
Rfam family: Bacterial small subunit ribosomal RNA
Source: RNAcentral